This 445-nucleotide ribosomal RNA is filed under the name uncultured bacterium. RNAcentral describes it as "bacterial SSU rRNA". It matches the Rfam family "Bacterial small subunit ribosomal RNA", at positions 331 to 792 of the family's 1533-position model. The record is from RNAcentral.
CCAGACUCCUACGGGAGGCAGCAGUGGGGGAUAUUGCACAAUGGGGGGAACCCUGAUGCAGCGACGCCGCGUGGGUGAAGGAGUGCUUCGGCAUGUAAAGCCCUAUCGGCAGGGAAGAAGCAAGACGGUACCUGACUAAGAAGCCCCGGCUAACUACGUGCCAGCAGCCGCGGUAAUACGUAGGGGGCAAGCGUUAUCCGGAUUUACUGGGUGUAAAGGGGGCGCAGACGGCAGCGCAAGCCAGGAGUGAAAGCCCGGGGCCCAACCCCGGGACUGCUCUUGGAACUGCGGCGCUGGAGUACGGGAGGGGCAGGCGGAAUUCCUGGUGUAGCGGUGAAAUGCGUAGAUAUCAGGAGGAACACCGGUGGCGAAGGCGGCCUGCUGGACUGCGACUGACGUUGAGGCCCGAAAGCGUGGGGAGCAAACAGGAUUAGAUACCCCGGUA